RNAcentral lists this non-coding RNA (30 nucleotides) under Mus musculus (house mouse). The record is from RNAcentral. Lineage: Eukaryota; Metazoa; Chordata; Mammalia; Rodentia; Muridae.
UGUGAGGCUAGGAGUGUUAUAAUGCUCCCA